GGAGGAUGAAAUGCAGAUACCUGACCUCCUGUGUACCUACCUUUCCCAAUACUAUGUGUUCACCACAGUACACAGUGUCUGGUCACCAGCUUUUGUGUUUGGGCCUGGCCUCCAUAUCCAGAGUGGACCUCAAUGCUAACCAUUCUGUCAGUCUUCAUCUCCCUCACCCACAGACCUUCUGCCAUUCCUACUAGCUACAAAGGACACUGGGAAACAGGAGCACACACAAGCCUGAUAGUUCUACCUUGUUGCUUUGGGUUUUUUUCCCUUCUUGUUUACAGGUACUGGUAAUCUACAGAGUAAGUCACAAAUUGUUCUCAGAGCUUUAUUUUUUUAAUUAUAGUUUUUUAAUAAUGAUUUUUAUUUUUUUCCAUUAUAGUUGGUUUACAUAUUUCUUCAAUUUCUGUUGUACAGCAAAGUGACCCAAUCACACACAGUUCCUGUGUUGUACAGAAGGGCCCAAUUGCCCAUCCAUUCCAAAUACAACAAUUUGCAUCUGAAAAUUCCAAACUCCUGGUCCUUAUCCAGUCCAUCCCACUCCGUAAGUCUGCUCUCCCUUGACCUUGAUCUGUUUCUGUUUUGGAGAUAGAAAAACUGAUCCCAGAGCUUUAAAUGAAAUGUACGCAGCUCUUCUGCAACGAGCUGUCCUAGUUGCUUGACGGUUCCUCUGCCCUUUCUUUUUAGUUCCCCCUCACAUGCUGCUGAGUCCUAACUCUAAAGUGUCUCAACUUCAUGCAUAUUCUCUGAGCCUGGCAUUUAUCCUCUGAUUCUAGAGGUAUAUUGAGCCUGCUCCACUGUUGUGAGUGAAGGAAGCUUCUCUUGAGUGUUUCUCAGGAUCUUCACCCAUUUUUCUGCUCUUGUUUUGUAAUCUCAGGGAAAGAGGCAUCCUUCUGCUUUGUCACUGUUCUCCUCAAUCUCAUGUUCUCCUGCUACCCCUGGGAUCUUGCUUUUCUGGUCAUUUCUCAUAUAUAUUUUUUGCUUUUUAGGGCCAUAGAGGUAGCAAAUGGAAGUUCCCAGACUAGAGGUCUAACUGGAGAUACAGCUGCCAGCCUAUGCUACAGCCAUAGCAAUGAGCCGCGUCUAUAGCCUACGCCACAGCUCACAGCAAUGCAGAUCCCUGAUCCACUAAGCAAGGCCAGGAUCAAACCCCCAUCCUCAUGGAUACUAGUUGAAUUUGUUUCCUCUGUGCUACAAUGGGGACUUCCUAUUUAAAAUAUAUAUUAGGGCCACAGAUGUGGCAUAUGGAAGUUCCCAGGCUAGGGGUAAAAUUAGAGCUACAGCUGCUGGUCUACCCCACAGCCCACAGCAAUACCAGAUCCAAGCCCCGUCUGUGACCUACACUGCAGCUUGUGGCAAUGCCGAUCCUUAACCCACUGAGCAGGGCCAGGAAUUGAACCCACAUCCUCAUGGAUACUAGUCAGGUUCAUCACUGCUGAACCACAAUGGGACUGCCUAUAUUUUAUUUCAAUUCGUUUUCCAGAGACAUGAUUGCACACCUCCCUCCAUUUGACAAAUACUCAAGUUGCCAUUAACUAAAAACAAACACACAAACUGAAAAAACAAGUAGUCAAGAUAAUAAGCAACUCCCGCCCCAGAACUCCUUGACCCUGAUACUACUUCUCCAUCUUUCUUUUCUUUUCUUUCUUUCAUCCUUUCUUUCUUUCUUUCUUUCUUUCUUUUUUGCUUUUUAGGGCCUUAAGGGUGGCAUAUAGAAGUUCCCAGGCUAGGGGUCAAAUUGGAGCUAUAACUGCUGGCCUACAGCACAGCCACAGCAAUUCAGGAUCCAAGCCGCAUCUGUGACCUACACCACAGCUCACAGCAAUGCUGGAUCCUUAACCCACCACUGAGCGAGGCCAGGGAUCCAACCUGCAUCCUUGUGGGUGCUAGUUGGGUUUGUAACCCACUGAGCCACAACAGGAACUCCUCUCCACCUUUCUUUGCUGACAAACAUCUUAGUCUGCCCCUGCCACCUCUUUGGAACCCACACACUUCUAGGAAUAUGAACUCAGUAUUAUGCUCAAAGUGUUCUCUUCUUGUCAUCAAGAGCUCAGGGUCUGUAACUCAAAAGAACUCAUCUCAGUUCUUAACCUCUCUACUCUCUCUGCAAUAUGGGGCAUCUUGGCUAGCCACACUGGGAUGGACUGAGUGUGUCCUUCCAAAAUUCAAAUGUUGAAGCCCUAAUCCCCAGUGUGAUGGUAUUUAGACUUAGAUUUUUGGGAGUAAUUAGGUCAUGAGGCUGGAGCCUUCUUGAAUGAGAUUAGUGCCCUUAUAAGAGACUUUCAUAGAGAUCAUCUAUGAAAAGACUUUCAUCUUUUCAUAGAUGAUCUCUCCUUCCACUGUAUAGGAAUACAGCGAGAAGGCAGCCACUUACAAACUAGGGAGAGAGCCCUCACCAAGAACCCAACCAUACCAACACCCUGAUCUUAGACUUCCAGCCUUUAGAACUGUGAGAAAGAAUUGUUUGUUGUUUACUCCAGCUAGUCUAUAGUCUAUAGUAUUCUGUUGUAGCAGCCCAAACAGCCUAAGGCACAUACCUUAAAAUUUCAGUUGAACUUUGUGAUGCUGAGUGCUUCUGUGUUCCUCUGAUUCUUUAUUACUACUAUAAAGACUUGCCCUUUGGUUCUCUUCCUUAUUUCUAAAUGAAGAUUCUCCUUCUUCUUAGUUCUUUCAUUGCACUCCUUGGCUGUAGUCUUUCUGUAAGUGAUUUUAUAUAGUCACAAGAAUUAAAAUAGCACCUUUUAAAGAAUACCGCCAAACCAUGUAUCACUGCAGUGACCUGUCUUGGAUGUGCAUUUUCAAUUGUUUGAUGCAUAUUUUCACCUAAAAGAUGACACAUUGAUUCAAACUUAAACUCAGCAUGAUCGAAACCGAACUCACUUUUUUCUUCUUGUUACUACUUUAGUUCAUUCUUUCAUCACUAGUUAUGAAGAAUACAAUACGUUCCUAACUGAUGCUCUAAUGUUUGGAUAUUCUGUUCAUAAUUUAUAUAUGCGUGGAUAAAUUUAGUAAUGAGAGAUUAUUUUUCAAACUUUGGCCUUGUUUAAAAACAUUCAGUAGCAACUAUUGCCUACUGAAUUAUACCUAGUCAGAAGCUUGCCUUUAAGAUGCUUUACAAUAUGUAUAUGCCAUUUUCAGACUUAUUCUUCUAAAACACUCUACAAAUUCCCUGUGCCACAUAUAAAACUGACAACUCAUGGUUCCAUGGAUGUGCUUUGUCCAUUCUUGUUUCCAUUUCAAUAGACUGACAUGAAAAAAUGGUUAAUAAAUAAUAGAUUACUUUUAAAAUGGAUACUGGUGGAUUCAUCCUGGGUUGAAUCCAUUAACCGACAGAUGAUGUCUUUCUCUAAACUGUCUCUGAAUGUAGCUAAGAAAAAAAUUGAGUGGAGAGGUAUAUAUCUGUUAUAACUUGUUUGUCUUUGAUCAUUGCCAGAUUUUUAUAGUGUAUGUCUUCUCUCCCAAAGAAUGCUGACUGUAAGUUCCUUGUGGACAUGACAUGACUUAUUCUUCUUUAUAUCUUCUAAAAUAUGAAGAACACAUAAUAAAUAUUUCACAUGUAUUUGUUGAAAGGACAUAUGGGUGGUUAAAAAAUGGAUACUGUGCAUUUUGUCCUUUGAGAUAACUUAUCUAUUAUUUAUCAUACAAGCCUGGUUUACCAUUCCAAAUGAAAGCUUUAUGGUAAACAUCUGAAGUCCUAAACAAAUGGAAAUUAAGCUGCUCACAAAUUUAUCUGGUGAUUACAAGUCACUUUGUGAUGCUUUUCCCAUUUUAUCUUCCAGCUUAAUUUUGCUGGAAAGCAUACCUCAUGAAUGGCUCUAGCAAGUUGUGAUGCCAGCUGGGGGAAUUUUGCCGUUUAUAGCAUGAGCCAUUUCACAGAUUUUUCAGGGAUUUUUGAGACUGGUGAUACUGCAAAGAUAAUGCGCAUUCUCUAUGUCAAAAGAUGUGAAUUAAUGAGGUGAAGGAAACAUUUAUCUAUUGCAAAUGACCAGGGAAGUUUUGCCAAAUUUCCUCAAGUUGUCUCUUUUCUCUUGGCAUUCACUUGGAAGGAGUAUAUCCUGGUAAUGGGAAUCACAUGUGAUUAAAGAGACCUUCAUGAACUGAUGCAGACCUUCACACGGCUAUAGUCAGGGGUUUGGAGGAUACUGGAAGUUGACUUAAUCUUUGAGACAAAUCUAGAAUAUAUAGGAAAAUGUGAUCAAUGAAAAAUGUGCAACCUCUGUAUGUCCAACGCAAAGUCAUAUGGUAUGUGUGUGUGUGUGUGUGUGGUUAUCCCUAUGUGAAGUGGUAAUUAAUAUGCUGAAAAUAAAAACCGUUCUAGAGAAAAGUCCUAAAAGCUGACAAAGGCUGUUACCUUUAAAGUAAAAUUCCUGGAUAAUUGAGGAUGUAGACCAUCACUUUGGGAGCUUCUCUUUAUCCUCUGAGUAAGAAAGAAGAGCGUUUCAGGGAUUUGUGCUCUCUAGAUGCUGUGUAUCCACUUAACUAAAAAAUAGACUCUACUUGGGGUCUACAUAAAGAUUUUCUUAUACUUACUCUGCCUUCAACUCUACACAUUUAUGGCAAAGUGGAAAUACUUUUUGCUCUUAUUUCCUAGGCUAAACAGUCCCUUAUCUGGUUCAACAGAUUGACCUCUGGCCUAAAGGGCAAGUGAGACUCUUCAGAUAGUUUUGUCUUGUGGUCUGUUGGAUGCCAUUACUCCCACGUAGCUAGAGCACAUUCUUUCAUUCUCUUUGGGCCUUGAUUUUGCUCUUUAAAAUUAACUAAUUAAUUAAUUUUCUUUUUAUAGCUGCACCUGCAGCAUAUGGAAGUUCCUGAAUCAGGGAUUGAAUCAGAGCUACAGCUGUGGCCUGCACCACAGCAGCCCUGGAUCUUAGCUGCAUCUGUUGCAGCAACGCUGAAUCCUUAACUCAUUGAGUGAGGCCAGGAGUUGAACCCGCAUCCUUACAGAGACUAUGCCAGGUCCUUAACCUGCUGAGCCACGAGGGAAACUCCUUGAUUUUGCUUUUAUCUGCCUUUUUUGUUCUGUGUCAGAUCUUCCCUCAUCCCACUCUUUACUAUUCCUAUUCUUUCUUCUGCUUCCUUUGUUUUCAUCUGUACAAAUUUGAGAUGCCUAGAAGUUAAUGUGGCUUGUUAAAUAUUCUCUGCACAGAGCCUGGAGAAAAGUGCUGUAUAUAUCAGGUAUAUAAUGAUAAGAAAUCAAAUUCUGCUCUGUACUUUUGCCUCUUUCUGGUAGUAAGUUAUGUAAUAAUGUUAUAAAUGAUCAAUUGGCAGCCUGGUGGGGUGAAUGUACUUCUCUGAGUGCCUCGUGAACACCCUGGGAAUGGCUUAGGUAUGAGGAAGAAUAUAAACUAAUAAUACAUGCCAGCUCUGAUUCCUUUGAGAAUUCAUGUCCUGAGAAAUUUCAAUGGAACAAUCUAAUUUUUUCAUCCACAAUAGUGUUUGAUUUGCAUUCAAGGAGGGAUAUUUUCCUGUCUGGCUACUUAGGGAUGGAGUUCAGAGUCAGAAAACAUUUUAUAUCCUUAGGUUUUCUUCAUUGCCUAUUAACAGUGAAUACUCACUAAGUUCAUGGCACUGCUUGGAAGGAGAGCUGAGUUAAGAUCAAAACCAGGCUGGCUGGUGCCUUUGAGAGCCACUACAGCCACAAACACUGCAAGUGUCCCUUGCCGGGAACCCAGCUAAGGAAGGACUCCUCUGAGAUAGCUACUAUCCUGAUCUGCCAAAUUGCAUGUACAAAAAAGAAAAGCUUAUUACCUGUCGUUGGAGAAUGACAACUAGAUAUGAUAGCAUUGAUAAUACCAAAUCCCAAAGAGAUGGACAGUACACUUUUUUUUCCUGUAAAUUGUUUAUAAUUUUAUUGAAACAUAUUAUGCUCACUUAAAAACAAUGUCAUAGUCCUAACAAAUCUAAGAGAAUAAACACCUUAUAAAGACUAAGGAAAGUAGGAUCUUCAUGGACUACAACUAUCAGAGGAAAACCUCAUGGAGAUGGUUGAAG
This 5988-nucleotide long non-coding RNA is filed under the name Sus scrofa (pig). RNAcentral's name for it is "lncRNA (ENSSSCG00015033219.1)". The record is from RNAcentral. Lineage: Eukaryota; Metazoa; Chordata; Mammalia; Artiodactyla; Suidae.